Non-coding RNA from Parelaphostrongylus tenuis, 75 nucleotides. Lineage: Eukaryota; Metazoa; Nematoda; Chromadorea; Rhabditida; Metastrongylidae. The record is from the annotation of a GenBank genome assembly.
GCGCCAGGAGUGCAACGGGUUAGAGCACGCGCUCCUGGAGAGAGUGAGAUGCGGGUUCGAGUCCCGCUUAACGCG